RNAcentral lists this ribosomal RNA (473 nucleotides) under uncultured bacterium. Its description in RNAcentral is "bacterial SSU rRNA". It matches the Rfam family "Bacterial small subunit ribosomal RNA", at positions 38 to 501 of the family's 1533-position model. The record is from RNAcentral.
GGCKGUGGGCSUAAGACUUGGSAGGUCGAACGCGAAAGUUCCUUCGGGGGCGAGUAGAGUGGCGGACGGGUGAGUAACGCGUAGGAAUCUGCCUGGUAGUGGGGGACAACUCGGGGAAACUCGAGCUAAUACCGCAUACGCCCCAUGGGGGAAAGAGGGGGACCUUUGGGCCUCUUGCUAUCGGAUGAGCCUGCGUCGGAUUAGCUAGUUGGUAGGGUAAAGGCCUACCAAGGCCACGAUCCGUAGCUGGUCUGAGAGGACGAUCAGCCACACUGGGACUGAGACACGGCCCAGACUCCUACGGGAGGCAGCAGUGGGGGAAUAUUGGACAGUGGGGCGCAAGCCUGAUCCAGCARUGCGGCGUGGUGUGAAGAGGGCCUGCGGGGUUGUAAAGCACUUUCAGGAGGGAAAAAAGCGGGGGCGUUAAUACCGGUCUUGUCUUGGACGUUACUUCCGAAGAAGCACCGGCUAAC